UACGGAGGGUGCAAGCGUUAAUCGGAAUUACUGGGCGUAAAGCGCACGCAGGCGGUGAAUUAAGUCUGAUGUUAAAGCGCCGAGCUUAACUUGGGAAUUGCAUCUGAAACUGGUUGGCUAGAGUAUUGUAGGGGGGGAGGGAAUUCCAUGUGUAGCGGUGAAAUGCGUAGAGAUGUGGAAGAAUACCAGUGGCGAAGGCGCCCCCCUGGACAAAAACUGACGCUCAGGUGCGAAAGCGAGGGGAGCGAACAGG
RNAcentral lists this ribosomal RNA (253 nucleotides) under uncultured bacterium. Its description in RNAcentral is "partial 16S ribosomal RNA". It matches the Rfam family "Bacterial small subunit ribosomal RNA", at positions 524 to 776 of the family's 1533-position model. The record is from RNAcentral.